CCUACGGGGGGCAGCAGUGGGGAAUAUUGCACAAUGGGGGGAACCCUGAUGUAGCGACGCCGCGUGAGUGAAGAAGUAUCUCGGUAUGUAAAGCUCUAUCAGCAGGGAAGAAGAUGACGGUACCUGACUAAGAAGCCCCGGCUAACUACGUGCCAGCAGCCGCGGUAAUACGUAGGGGGCAAGCGUUAUCCGGAUUUACUGGGUGUAAAGGGAGCGUAGACGGCAGGGCAAGUCUGGAGUGAAAGCCCGGGGCUCAACCCCGGGACUGCUUUGGAAACUGCCAUGCUGGAGUGCUGGAGAGGUAGGCGGAAUUCCUGGUGUAGCGGUGAAAUGCGUAGAUAUUAGGAGGAACACCAGUGGCGAAGGCGGCUUGCUGGACAGUAACUGACGUUGAGGCUCGAAAGCGUGGGGAGCAAACAGGAUUAGAUACCCCUGUAGUC
RNAcentral lists this ribosomal RNA (440 nucleotides) under uncultured bacterium. RNAcentral describes it as "partial 16S ribosomal RNA". It matches the Rfam family "Bacterial small subunit ribosomal RNA", at positions 338 to 795 of the family's 1533-position model. The record is from RNAcentral.